AUGAAGGUCAAGCGACGUGAAUUUCUUGGUCUCACUCAAGGCAGUCUGUCAGUAAGUGAAUAUUUGCACAAGUUCAACCAUCUGGCCUGUUAUUCCCUUUAUAAUGUGGCCACGGAAGAAAGAAAGAUCGACAGGUUCCUUGGAGGAUUAAAUCAACACCUAAGGAGUGCUCUCUACAUGCUCGACUUUCCAGAUUUUCAGUCUCUUGUGAACAAGGCUCUCAUUGCAGAAGGAGAAUGCAAGCCUGUGCAAGACAACCGCCCCGCAAAUAAUGACCACAAGCGCAAAUUUGAGCCAAAGAAGAACGGCAGCCCAUUCAGAAGGCCCGUACCUGGCAAUAGACUCAAGUGA
Molecule: ribosomal RNA, 351 nt
Filed under: Triticum aestivum (bread wheat)
Lineage: Eukaryota; Viridiplantae; Streptophyta; Magnoliopsida; Poales; Poaceae
Description: partial small subunit ribosomal RNA
Source: RNAcentral